ACCGAGACUAGAGUCACAUCUUAACAUGUUUGAUUGUCUUGGUGUGCUAUAGUUCUCGGACACAAACGUCUGAUCCCUAUUCGCAGGUUGCGGUGUCUCUUACCUCAGCCAGCCACCGAAUCAGCGACACUG
Small nucleolar RNA from Phalacrocorax carbo (great cormorant), 132 nucleotides. It matches the Rfam family "Small nucleolar RNA SNORA3/SNORA45 family". From Rfam's summary of the family: The members of this family belong to the H/ACA class of snoRNAs which are thought to guide the sites of modification of uridines to pseudouridines. Lineage: Eukaryota; Metazoa; Chordata; Aves; Suliformes; Phalacrocoracidae. The record is from Rfam.